Engraulis encrasicolus (European anchovy) is the source of this 1279-nucleotide long non-coding RNA. RefSeq lists it as uncharacterized. The record is from RefSeq and is a predicted model, not a curated record. Lineage: Eukaryota; Metazoa; Chordata; Actinopteri; Clupeiformes; Engraulidae. The transcript has 7 exons.
UUUUAUGGGGAAAUCCUGAUUUGUGUUCAUAGUACGGCCCCCGGAGGAUUUUAUGACCAUGGUAGGAAUUUGAAGUGGCCCCUCGAAUGAAAAAGGUUCCCCACCCCUGCAUUAAACAUUUCUACUAGCCACAGCUUUGCUGCCAGUACAUUUUAUUAUGAUACUAUAAGCUCAGAAAUUAAGUUGAUCAAACAAUUCGAUCUGUGCUAUAAACAUUUAAAUGAACCUACAGAAUAGGCCUAGGCUAUCAAAAUAGAAUCAUCUGAAUGAUCUUUCUUGGACAUACAUUUUGAAGUGACCCUUCGAAUUAAAAAGGUUCCUCAGCUGCUUUUGAGGAAAAACAUCAAUGUGCUUGGCCACUCUGGUUUUUAAAUGGUAUUCUGAACUAAAGCAAGGAUUGUUCAAGUUAGUUGAAAAUAGACCGUCUCUGGUUAAAUUAGUUCUACACCAAGCCUUUAGGUGGCAGUAAAACGAAUUGGCACAAUGCGAAUUCCACACACAAGCCACAAAGAAGCCAUCAGCCGCGGUCAACAGCACCUUCCUGAUUGAGCAGAACCACGCGUUGUCUGUGUGGUUUACAAGUUUCUUGGCGAUAUGGGGGGAAAGUUCCUCACAUACCAACGGAAAAUGGGCUUCAUAUACAUGCUGCUGUCUCAUAUGGCGAAGACGAGUCACCUGAAGGCCUAACUCGCCAUAGAAGACUGAAAGAAUUGUCCUGCAGGAUGCUGUGUCCUGCAAUCCUGUGUGCUGUGCUACAGACGCGUGUGGAGGUCAACCCAAAAUGGGCACAGUCUCACCACAGAAGAGUGAAAGAGGAUCCUGGCAGGGAGACGGUAGUGUCCUGCAGAAUGGUGAUGGGCCAAUCUUACAAGAGACCACAGAAAACUGAUAUAGUGAACUAUAGAAACAACAGUGCCUGCUGCAGUAUAACGAGGACACCCUGAGCAGAGAGCUCCAAUAGACCCAGGUCCAGUGUCUUGGCAGGGUGAAAUGGCACUGAUAUGGUGUCCUGCAGGAUGCUGUGUCCUGCAAUCCUGUGUGCUGUGCUACAGACGCGUGUGGAGGUCAACCCAAAAUGGGCACAGUCUCACCACAGAAGAGUGAAAGAGGCUCCCAGAAGUGAGACUGAGUGUCUGUUGCAGUAUGACGAGGACGCAGUGACCAGAGACCUUCAGUAGACCCUGCUGGCAUGAUUGGCGUCUGAAGAACAUGAAAUCAACAGCAAUGUUUAUAAUGUUGUACAUACCUGUAUAGUCUGUAUUAAAAGGCAGUACCUGUA